CUACAGAAGGUACCAUGGAAUGCGCUUCUCCAGGAGUCUGCCUGAUGACACGCAGAUCCUGCAGGAGGUGGAGCAGUGGCAGGCAGACCUGAAAUCAGCAGUUUCCCAAGGAGUCUUGGACACUUUUAAUGGACUUGAAAGUAAUGUGGCAAACUACCUCAUGAUCCUGUGACUAUGUCUUCCCACCAUGAAGGACCUUAUCUCCCCUCUUAAACUGUGAGCCCCAAUAAAUUAUUUUUUUAGGUUGUUUAUCUCAGGUAUUUUGUUACAACAAUGGGAAAAUAAUAUUGUCAUUAAAUAAUUUAAAAUGUAAGGAUGUCAAUGAACAUGUUCACAUUUGUCUUGGCUAUGCUAUCUAUACCUUGUCUCUGAGUUGAUGUUCUAUGAAACACCAAGAGUCAAGUGUGUUCAAAACCAGCAGAAAAAUCAUAAAAUCAGCCAUUUAUCGUUUGCUACUUGAAAUGUGUUGAAA
Long non-coding RNA from Peromyscus leucopus (white-footed mouse), 472 nucleotides. RefSeq lists it as uncharacterized. Lineage: Eukaryota; Metazoa; Chordata; Mammalia; Rodentia; Cricetidae. The transcript is spliced from 3 exons. The record is from RefSeq and is a predicted model, not a curated record.